UACGAGGGGGGCUAGCGUUGCUCGGAAUCACUGGGCGUAAAGCGCACGUAGGCGGAUUGUUAAGUCAGGGGUGAAAUCCUGGAGCUCAACUCCAGAGCUGCCUUUGAUACUGGCGAUCUUGAGUCCGGGAGAGGUGAGUGGAACUGCGAGUGUAGAGGUGAAAUUCGUAGAUAUUCGCAAGAACACCAGUGGCGAAGGCGGCUCACUGGCCCGGUACUGACGCUGAGGUGCGAAAGCGUGGGGAGCAAACAGG
RNAcentral lists this ribosomal RNA (253 nucleotides) under uncultured bacterium. Its description in RNAcentral is "partial 16S ribosomal RNA". It matches the Rfam family "Bacterial small subunit ribosomal RNA", at positions 524 to 776 of the family's 1533-position model. The record is from RNAcentral.